This 735-nucleotide ribosomal RNA is filed under the name uncultured fungus. RNAcentral describes it as "SSU rRNA". It matches the Rfam family "Eukaryotic small subunit ribosomal RNA", at positions 356 to 1093 of the family's 1831-position model. The record is from RNAcentral. Lineage: Eukaryota; Fungi.
CGGGUAACGGGGUGUUAGGGCACGACACCGGAGAGGGAGCCUGAGAAACGGCUACCACAUCCAAGGAUGGCAGCAGGCGCGCAAAUUACCCAAUCCCGACACGGGGAGGUAGUGACAAUAAAUAACAAUACGGGGUUCUUUCGGAUUUCGUAAUUGGAAUGAGUACAAUUUAAAUCUCUUAACGAGGAACAAUUGGAGGGCAAGUCUGGUGCCAGCAGCCGCGGUAAUUCCAGCUCCAAUAGCGUAUAUUAAAGUUGCUGCAGUUAAAAAGCUCGUAGUUGAAUUUCGGGACUAAUAUGUCGGUCGUGCCUCGGUACGUACUGGUAUUUUUGGUUUCUCCCUUCUGACGAACCUUGAUGUCAUUAAUUUGGUGUCUUGGGAAAUCAGGACUGUUACUUUGAAAAAAUUAGAGUGUUUAAAGCAGGCUCACGCUUGAAUACAUUAGCAUGGAAUAAUGAAAUAGGACGUUUGAUUCUAUUUUGUUGGUUUCUAGGAUCGACGUAAUGAUUAAUAGGGAUAGUUGGGGGCAUUAGUAUUCAAUUGUCAGAGGUGAAAUUCUUGGAUUUAUUGAAGACUAACUACUGCGAAAGCAUUUGCCAAGGAUGUUUUCAUUAAUCAAGAACGAAAGUUAGGGGAUCGAAGACGAUCAGAUACCGUCGUAGUCUUAACCAUAAACUAUGCCGACUAGGGAUCGGAUGAUGUUAAUUUUUUAAUGACUCAUUCGGCGCCUUACGG